ACUAUUGUCACGGGUUACCGCGGCUGCUGGCACGGAGUUAGCCGGUGCUUCUUCUGUGAGUGAUGUCCUUCCUGCCGGCUAUUAACCCGCAGGCCUUCUUCCUCACUGAAAGUGCUUUACAACCCGAAGGCCUUCUUCACACACGCGGCAUGGCUGGAUCAGGGUUGCCCCCAUUGUCCAAUAUUCCCCACUGCUGCCUCCCGUAGGAGUCUGGGCCGUGUCUCAGUCCCAGUGUGGCUGAUCAUCCUCUCAGACCAGCUACGGAUCGUCGCCUUGGUGAGCCGUUACCUCACCAACCAGCUAAUCCGACAUAGGCUCAUCCGAUAGCGCGAGGCCCGAAGGUCCCCCGCUUUCCCCCGUAGGGCGUAUGCGGUUAGUC
This 379-nucleotide ribosomal RNA is filed under the name uncultured bacterium. RNAcentral describes it as "partial 16S ribosomal RNA". The record is from RNAcentral.